AGAGCGAACGCUGGCGGCAGGCUUAACACAUGCAAGUCGAGCGCCCCGCAAGGGGAGCGGCAGACGGGAGAGUAACACGUGGGAACGUACCUUUCGGUUCGGAACAACCCAGGGAAACUUGGGCUAAUACCGGAUACGUCCGUAAGGAGAAAGAUUUAUCGCCGAAAGAUCGGCCCGCGUCUGAUUAGCUAGUUGGUGAGGUAACGGCUCACCAAGGCGACGAUCAGUAGCUGGUCUGAGAGGAUGAUCAGCCUCACUGGGACUGAGACACGGCCCAGACUCCUACGGGAGGCAGCAGUGGGGAAUAUUGGACAAUGGGCGCAAGCCUGAUCCAGCCAUGCCGCGUGGGUGAUGAAGGCCCUAGGGUUGUAAAGCCCUUUCGGCGGGGUAAGAUAAUGACGGUACCCGCAGAAGAAGCCCCGGCUAACUUCGCGCCAGCAGCCGC
RNAcentral lists this ribosomal RNA (445 nucleotides) under uncultured bacterium. Its description in RNAcentral is "SSU rRNA". It matches the Rfam family "Bacterial small subunit ribosomal RNA", at positions 26 to 518 of the family's 1533-position model. The record is from RNAcentral.